AGUUGGUGGCCUAGAAAUCCAAACCUAGGCCACCAACUUCAAACCGUCAUAACUUGGUGCUAAAUUGACGGAUUUGGC
Caenorhabditis elegans is the source of this 78-nucleotide non-coding RNA. The record is from Ensembl. NCBI's taxonomy places the organism in Eukaryota, Metazoa, Nematoda, Chromadorea, Rhabditida, Rhabditidae.